RNAcentral lists this ribosomal RNA (572 nucleotides) under uncultured bacterium. RNAcentral describes it as "partial 16S ribosomal RNA". It matches the Rfam family "Bacterial small subunit ribosomal RNA", at positions 355 to 1375 of the family's 1533-position model. The record is from RNAcentral.
UGGGGAAUAUUGCACAAUGGGCGAAAGCCUGAUGCAGCAACGCCGCGUGAGGGACGACGGCCUUCGGGUUGUAAACCUCUUUUAGCAAAGAAGAAGCGAAAGUGACGGUACUUGCAGAAAAAAGCGCCGGCUAACUACGUGCCAGCAGCCGCGGUAAUACGUAGGGCGCAAGCGUUAUCCGGAAUUAUUGGGCGUAAAGAGCUCGUAGGCGGUUUGUCGCGUCUGCUGUGAAAACCCGAGGCUCAACCUCGGGCCUGCAGUGGGUACGGGCAGACUAGAGUGCGGUAGGGGAGAUUGGAACUCCUGGUGUAGCGGUGAAUGCGCAGAUAUCAGGAAGAACACCGAUGGCGAAGGCAGAUCUCUGGGCCGUAACUGACGCUGAGGAGCGAAAAGGGUGGGGAGCAAAACAGGCUUGAGAUACCCUGGUAGUCCACCCCCGUAAACGUUGGGAACUAGUUGUGGGGUCCAUUCCACGGAUUCCGUGACGCAGCUAACGCAUUAAGUUCCCCGCCUGGGGAGUACGGCCGCAAGGCUAAAACUCAAAUGAAUUGACGGGGUCAUAGCUGUUUCCU